UACGUAGGGUGCAAGCGUUAAUCGGAAUUACUGGGCGUAAAGCGUGCGCAGGCGGUUUCGUAAGUCUGUCGUGAAAUCCCCGGGCUUAACCUGGGAAUGGCGAUGGAGACUGCGAGGCUAGAGUUUGGCAGAGGGGGGUAGAAUUCCACGUGUAGCAGUGAAAUGCGUAGAGAUGUGGAGGAACACCGAUGGCGAAGGCAGCCCCCUGGGCUGACACUGACGCUCAGGCACGAAAGCGUGGGGAGCAAACAGG
RNAcentral lists this ribosomal RNA (253 nucleotides) under uncultured bacterium. RNAcentral describes it as "partial 16S ribosomal RNA". It matches the Rfam family "Bacterial small subunit ribosomal RNA", at positions 524 to 776 of the family's 1533-position model. The record is from RNAcentral.